RNAcentral lists this ribosomal RNA (1425 nucleotides) under Dendropsophus microps (Nova Friburgo treefrog). RNAcentral's name for it is "partial 16S ribosomal RNA". It matches the Rfam family "Bacterial large subunit ribosomal RNA", at positions 133 to 2597 of the family's 2925-position model. Lineage: Eukaryota; Metazoa; Chordata; Amphibia; Anura; Hylidae. The record is from RNAcentral.
GCUAAAAGUCUAGCCCUAUUUAACCGCAUGAUCAUCAUUAAACUCAACUUAAUAUCCUAAAACAUUCAAUGUUUCUAGUAAAGGCGAUCGAAAGAAUAAUUAGAGCUACAACUAUAGUACCGCAAGGAAAAGAUGAAAUAAAAAUGAAACACAUUUUAAGCAAGAAAAAGCAGAGAUUAACCCUCGUACCUUUUGCAUCAUGAUUUAACAAGUCUAAUCAAGCGCAAAGAACUAUAGCUUGACCUCCCGAAACUAAACGAGCUACUUCGAGGCAGCUUAAUGAGCACACCCGUCUCUGUUGCAAAAGAGUGGGAUGACCUCCAAGUAGCGGUGAUAGACCUAACGAGUUUAGUGAUAGCUGGUUACUUAAGAAAAGGAUUUUAGUCCAACCUCAAACAUCUUUAAUUUUUUCAAAUGACCCCAAUGUUUUAGAGCCACUCAAAUGAGGUACAGCCCGUUUGAAACAAGGACACAACCUACACUAAUGGGUAAUUCACUUAUUUUACAACAAAGUGGGCCUAAGAGCAGCCACCUUUAAAAUAGCGUCAAAGCUUACCUGUAUAAACCCCAAAUACCACAACACCCCAAAACCCCUUUAUCCGUAUUAAGUAAUUCUAUAAUAAUAUAGAAGUUAUUAUGUUAAAACAAGUAAUAAGAAGAAGACCUUCUCUUAGAUGCAAGUGUAGAUCAGAAAGGACAAACCACUGAUAAUUAUAGCCAAUGAAUACAAUACAGCAACACCCCAAGAAAACCCUGUUUUACCCGGCGUUAACCUAACACAAGAGCACCUCAAGAAAGAUUUAAAGAAAAAGAAGGAACUCGGCAAAUAUUAACCCCGCCUGUUUACCAAAAACAUCGCCUCUUGUCUUAAACAUAAGAGGUCCAGCCUGCCCAGUGACUAAGUUCAACGGCCGCGGUAUCCUAACCGUGCGAAGGUAGCGUAAUCACUUGUUCUUUAAAUGAGGACUAGUAUGAAUGGCACCACGAAGGUUAUACUGUCUCCUUUUUCUAAUCAAUGAAACUAAUCUCCCCGUGAAGAAGCGGGGAUAAAAAUAUAAGACGAGAAGACCCUAUGGAGCUUUAAACUAUAUAGCACUGGCUUAUGUAUUUAUACACUUCAGAGCCAUAAUACUUACUCUAGCCUUCAUGUCUAUUAGUUUUAGGUUGGGGUGACCGCGGAGCAAAAAUUAACCUCCACAUUGAACGGAACCAUUCCUGAGCCAAAAGCUACAACUUUAAGCACCAACAAAAUGACAUCAAUUGACCCAAUAUUUUGAUCAACGAACCAAGUUACCCUAGGGAUAACAGCGCAAUCCACUUCAAGAGCUCCUAUCGACAAGUGGGUUUACGACCUCGAUGUUGGAUCAGGGUAUCCCAGUGGUGCAGCCGCUACUAAAGGUUCGUUUGUUCAACGAUUAAAACCCU